GUCGAGCGGACAGAAGGGAGCUUGCUCCCUGAUGUUAGCGGCGGACGGGUGAGUAACACGUGGGUAACCUGCCUGUAAGACUGGGAUAACUCCGGGAAACCGGGGCUAAUACCGGAUGCUUGUUUGAACCGCAUGGUUCAAACAUAAAAGGUGGCUUCGGCUAUCACUUACAGAUGGACCCGCGGCGCAUUAGCUAGUUGGUGGGGUAAUGGCUCACCAAGGCAACGAUGCGUAGCCGACCUGAGAGGGUGAUCGGCCACACUGGGACUGAGACACGGCCCAGACUCCUACGGGAGGCAGCAGUAGGGAAUCUUCCGCAAUGGACGAAAGUCUGACGGAGCAACGCCGCGUGAGUGAUGAAGGUUUUCGGAUCGUAAAGCUCUGUUGUUAGGGAAGAACAAG
Molecule: ribosomal RNA, 402 nt
Filed under: Bacillus vallismortis
Lineage: Bacteria; Bacillati; Bacillota; Bacilli; Caryophanales; Bacillaceae
Description: bacterial SSU rRNA
Rfam family: Bacterial small subunit ribosomal RNA
Source: RNAcentral